AGUAAUGCUUGGGAAUCUAGCUUAUGGAGGGGGAUAACUACGGGAAACUGUAGCUAAUACCGCGUAGAAUCGUGAGAUGAAAGUGUGGGACCUUCGGGCCACAUGCCAUAGGAUGAGCCCAAGUGGGAUUAGGUAGUUGGUGAGGUAAAGGCUCACCAAGCCGACGAUCUCUAGCUGGUCUGAGAGGAUGACCAGCCACACUGGGACUGAGACACGGCCCAG
RNAcentral lists this ribosomal RNA (222 nucleotides) under uncultured bacterium. RNAcentral's name for it is "partial 16S ribosomal RNA". It matches the Rfam family "Bacterial small subunit ribosomal RNA", at positions 109 to 334 of the family's 1533-position model. The record is from RNAcentral.